AUUCAUUCAUUCAUUUAUUCAUUUAUUGCAUAACACUCUUCUAGAUUCAUACCAUAUAUUACAGGCUUAAAUUUUAAAAAUAUCAUAUAGCUUGUUUUGCCUAUUGUUUUUUCUAGACUGUAUUUCUUGUGAGCAGAAAAUGAACCAGCACCAAUAAUGGAACUUGGGUGACUAAAUGCUCUGGAACAUGUAGUUGAAUACAUGACUACAAGCUGUGCGACUUCAAAACACUACCUCAGAACACUCAGAAGACUAAAUAUAAGAAUGAAACUUCACAGGUAACUAACUUUAUUAUUCUGCUGGUUGUCUCAUUAAAGAUUUAAAUUUUGGGGGUGUCUGGAUGGCUCAGUCGGUUGGGUGCCUG
This 364-nucleotide long non-coding RNA is filed under the name Felis catus (domestic cat). Its description in RNAcentral is "lncRNA (ENSFCAG00000053859.1)". The record is from RNAcentral. Lineage: Eukaryota; Metazoa; Chordata; Mammalia; Carnivora; Felidae.